CUGUCCUGAGAUCGGGUAUAAUUUUGAUUUGUCUCUUCAGAUGACGUUUCUUUUCUGCUUAUAUCAUGACUGAAAAUUUUUGUUGAAAGAUAACUUGAUAUCUUGAUAUUAGGAACUGAGUUAAAUAGGCCUUUAAUGUCAAGUUUUAUAGUAAUCUGAUUAGAAAUUAAAUUGUGUUUAAUGUUAGCCAUAGGUGGAGGUACCAAGAUUUUCAAAUUAUUUAAAUAUUCUUAUUUUUCCCCGUAUUAUCUUUAGAUGUUCCUAAAAUUCCAUUUUAAUUCAAUCUGAGACUUGCAGUUAUAGAACCUGUUGCACAUGAUAUUUACCAUGGAGCCUUAUGUUAUUAUGGUGGUAGGGAAUUGCAGAAAGGAGACAUUCUACAAUAUUAUGAUUAAAUCAUUCUUUUAGUGGACCUCUGUCCCUUAGGUAUGACCUCAGGAGUGUUUUUUCUUCCUUAGGUGAGACAGAAAGAUUAACCAGCAUUGGAGUUGGGAAUUGUACUUCCACCUAUGUGAGGAAUGUAUAUCCAACUAUCCCAAACAGGAAGUGAUGUUAUGUUCCCCAGGAUGGCCUUGAACUCCUGUUCUCAAGUGAGUCUCUCACUACAGGAUCCAAAGUAGCUGGGACUACAGUUAUUAAAAGACAUGUUGGCUCAUUCCAAUUUGUGGCAAUUAUGAAUAAAGCUGCUACAAAUAUUUGUAUGCGGAUUUGUGUGGACAUAGAUUUGCUCAUUGAAGGAAAUAAUUAAGAAUACAAUUGUUGGAUCUAAUGAUGUCAUGCCCCACAGAUGUCUGGAAAUGGGAAUUUGCACCUCAACUUUUUAUAUUGAGAGACUUUUUAAUCCUGCCUGGGCAUGAUACCUGAGUGUCUCCUGGUCCGUUCGGGACACAUCUCUGCUUUAUCAGUACAGUGUGGCCAAUUACUUAUGACAGUGGCCCCAAGCUGCUGAGCUGCGUUCUGAAGAUCAAUGCCAGGCACUGUUAGAACAUUUACCAGUCCAUAGCAAAAUUAGAAAAGGUAGAAAUAACAUAAAUUAUGUUCUAUGUAAAGCUAAAUGCCUUUGAUUUAAAGAUAGCCCUGUAACAUGAAGUUAUUUUCUCAGUAUUAAAAUGUCCCUUUUGUUCACAUCACAGAGGCAAAAUAAAAAGUUGUCAAGACUCUGUGAGCA
Molecule: non-coding RNA, 1168 nt
Organism: Macaca mulatta (Rhesus monkey)
Lineage: Eukaryota; Metazoa; Chordata; Mammalia; Primates; Cercopithecidae
Source: RefSeq, a predicted model, not a curated record